AGUAUAAGCAACUAUACGGUGAAACUGCGAAUGGCUCAUUAAAUCAGUUAUCGUUUAUUUGAUAGUACCUUACUACAUGGAUAACCGUGGUAAUUCUAGAGCUAAUACAUGCUAAAAACCCCGACUUCGGGAGGGGUGUAUUUAUUAGAUAAAAAACCAAUGCCCUUCGGGGCUCCGUGGUGAAUCAUAAUAACUUAACGAAUCGCAUGGCCUUGCGCCGGCGAUGGUUCAUUCAAAUUUCUGCCCUAUCAACUUUCGAUGGUAGGAUAGUGGCCUACCAUGGUCUCAACGGGUAACGGGGAAUUAGGGUUCGACUCCGGAGAGGGAGCCUGAGAAACGGCUACCACAUCCAAGGAAGGCAGCAGGCGCGCAAAUUACCCAAUCCCGACACGGGGAGGUAGUGACAAUAAAUACUGAUACAGGGCUCUUUUGGGUCUUGUAAUUGGAAUGAGUACAAUUUAAAUCCCUUAACGAGGAACAAUUGGAGGGCAAGUCUGGUGCCAGCAGCCGCGGUAAUUCCAGCUCCAAUAGCGUAUAUUAAAGUUGUUGCAGUUAAAAAGCUCGUAGUUGAACCUUGGGCCUGGCUGGCCGGUCCGCCUCACCGCGUGCACUGGUCCGGCCAGGCCUUUCCUUCUGGGGAGCCGCAUGGCCUUCACUGGCCGUGUCGGGGAACCAGGACUUUUACUUUGAAAAAAUUAGAGUGUUCAAAGCAGGCCUUUGCUCGGAUACAUUAGCAUGGAAUAAUAGAAUAGGACGCGCGGUUCUAUUUUGUUGGUUUCUAGGACCGCCGUAAUGAUUAAUAGGGACAGUCGGGGGCAUCCGUA
RNAcentral lists this ribosomal RNA (824 nucleotides) under uncultured eukaryote. RNAcentral's name for it is "SSU rRNA". It matches the Rfam family "Eukaryotic small subunit ribosomal RNA", at positions 62 to 896 of the family's 1831-position model. The record is from RNAcentral.